AUGUAUAGACUAAAACAAAAGUAAUCCCUCUCAAUUAUCAGUUAUGACCCACUAGUAGUGUGUGUGGUGGUGUCUGUAUCUGCAGAGACCCUGCCCUCUGCCUGGAUUUUGCCUUUUCUUUUCAGGAACACU
This is a long non-coding RNA of Etheostoma spectabile (orangethroat darter), 132 nucleotides long. RefSeq lists it as uncharacterized. The record is from RefSeq and is a predicted model, not a curated record. The transcript has 3 exons. Lineage: Eukaryota; Metazoa; Chordata; Actinopteri; Perciformes; Percidae.